AACGAACGCUGGCGGCAGGCCUAACACAUGCAAGUCGAGCGAGGACUUCGGUCCUAGCGGCGGACGGGUGAGUAACGCGUGGGAACGUGCCCUUUGCUUCGGAAUAGCCCUGGGAAACUGGGAGUAAUACCGGAUGAGCCCUUUGGGGGAAAGAUUUAUCGGCGAAGGAUCGGCCCGCGUUGGAUUAGGUAGUUGGUGGGGUAAUGGCCUACCAAGCCGACGAUCCAUAGCUGGUUUGAGAGGAUGAUCCGCCACACUGGAACUGAGACACGGCCCAGACUCCUACGGGAGGCAGCAGUGGGGAAUCUUAGACAAUGGGGGAAACCCUGAUCUAGCCAUGCCGCGUGAGCGAUGAAGGCCUUAGGGUUGUAAAGCUCUUUCAGCUGAGAAGAUAAUGACGGUACCAGCAGAAGAAGCCCCGGCUAACUCCGUG
This 433-nucleotide ribosomal RNA is filed under the name uncultured bacterium. RNAcentral's name for it is "partial 16S ribosomal RNA". It matches the Rfam family "Bacterial small subunit ribosomal RNA", at positions 29 to 507 of the family's 1533-position model. The record is from RNAcentral.